UGCUAGGGCAGUGGCAAGGGGAAAUGUGGGGUUGGAGCCCCCGUGCGUAGUCCCUACUGGGGUACUGCCUCAUGGAGCUGUAAAAAAACAGACC
This is a long non-coding RNA of Sapajus apella (tufted capuchin), 94 nucleotides long. RefSeq lists it as uncharacterized. The record is from RefSeq and is a predicted model, not a curated record. NCBI's taxonomy places the organism in Eukaryota, Metazoa, Chordata, Mammalia, Primates, Cebidae. The transcript has 3 exons.